RNAcentral lists this ribosomal RNA (253 nucleotides) under uncultured bacterium. RNAcentral describes it as "partial 16S ribosomal RNA". It matches the Rfam family "Bacterial small subunit ribosomal RNA", at positions 524 to 776 of the family's 1533-position model. The record is from RNAcentral.
GACGUAGGGCGCGAGCGUUGUCCGGAUUUAUUGGGCGUAAAGAGCUCGUAGGCGGCUUGUCGCGUCGACUGUGAAAUCCCGCGGCUCAACUGCGGGUCUGCAGUCGAUACGGGCAGGCUAGAGUUCGGUAGGGGAGACUGGAAUUCCUGGUGUAGCGGUGAAAUGCGCAGAUAUCAGGAGGAACACCGAUGACGAAGGCAGGUCUCUGGGCCGAUACUGACGCUGAGGAGCGAAAGCGUGGGGAGCGAACAGG